Molecule: unclassified non-coding RNA, 198 nt
Filed under: plant metagenome
Description: partial contains small subunit ribosomal RNA and internal transcribed spacer 1
Rfam family: Eukaryotic small subunit ribosomal RNA (bases 1-46)
Source: RNAcentral
AAGUCGUAACAAGGUUUCCGUAGGUGAACCUGCGGAAGGAUCAUUCAUAGUAAGUGUUUUAUGGCACUUUUUUAAAUCCAUAUCCACCUUGUGUGCAAUGUCAGGGUUGAUUUCUUUCGAGAGAUCAGCCCCAAACAUCAACUAUUAUCUCAACUCUUUGUCUGAAAAAUAUUAUGAAUAAAACAAUUCAAAAUACAA